Molecule: long non-coding RNA, 286 nt
Filed under: Phaseolus vulgaris (common bean)
Lineage: Eukaryota; Viridiplantae; Streptophyta; Magnoliopsida; Fabales; Fabaceae
Description: long non-coding RNA (PVUL_LNC001536)
Source: RNAcentral
AGAAUGAGUUGUUAAGCAAUGACCAUCAAGCGUUGAGCGUAGAGGAAAUCCUGAGACCUAGGAAAGUCAAUUUGUUGGUUGGGCUGGAAAUGAGUUGAGUGCACACAUUAAUUAAUCAGAAAAUCCAAUUUUCUAAGUGGAUUCCCCAAGUGUUGAGCGAAUCAAUUGUGAAACACAGUCCAACACUCAACAUUGUAAAUAGAAAGGCUUGGUCUAGAGAAAAUAAGGUUAUAUGAGGUGAAGAAAGAAUAGACAAAUUAAGCGCACCAUGCAAAGUCAUAUGUCC